Molecule: unclassified non-coding RNA, 2008 nt
Filed under: Leishmania donovani
Lineage: Eukaryota; Euglenozoa; Kinetoplastea; Trypanosomatida; Trypanosomatidae
Description: gene:LdHU3.09.1690(CDS-product:hypothetical_prote in_conserved)
Source: RNAcentral
CUUUGGCACAGGCACCCUCACGAUCUUGCUCUCUCUGCGCCAUACAGCUGAGACGCGCGCGCUGGCAUCGUGCUGCUCUUGCUGCGUCCCUCGUCUCUGGUCCCCCACAGAGGCGCGCGUUGUCCUAACCCCGCGCAUCACGGGAGGCAUACCCCGCACGUUUGCCUGCGUGUUUGAGUUGGGUCUUCCACCACCGCUGCGUGAACCUUGCGCCCAGACCACGCUGUCGAAAGGCAGCGCGCAUAGACGCACAUCGGGACGAAAGCGGGAGCGCACACCGCCUCGCCGCUCUGCUGCGCAUUGUGCGAGUGCGCGUCGAUCUCUGGCUUUCGCCUGCACACUUCCUUGUCGGCAUCUCUCUGCCUUUGCACCAGCCCUCGCAUGAUGAUGCCCAUGACAGGCUCUCGGAACUCCCCCGUGCGCCCGUCGGGCGUCGUGAGGCACGCUCAUGAGACGGAUAAACCUGUGAUAGAGAACUGUGCGCAGUCGAACCCCCUUCUCGACGCUCCGCCCGAUCCCCCGCACAAGGCAGGCAAGCGAUCUGUGGUGUCGUGCGCACCAUCAGGCACCUCAAGUGCUGCACGUGCGUCUGAUGUCGCCGCUCUUCUGCGACACGCGGUCGUCCGUGACUUGAUUCGCGAGAAUGAAGGCAUGCUGAUGGAGAUCGCGGGGCUGCAGGAGACGAAGAGACUCUGGUGUGCGACUCAGCUGCGCCUCGUCACACUGGAAGAGAGUGCCGCUCGUGCAGCGCUGAAGGCGGCGGAGUCGAUCGCGCGUGGGGUGUGGGCUACCCGCGCCCACGCCUCGCUGGCAGCGCACGUGCAGCGAUUAGAGCAGCAGCUGAGCGAUGAAGCGGAGGAGGCAGCGGAGCUGCGGGGAUUCGCCGAGCUAGCACAGGCGCAGCUGGCUACCAGCCCACGGCCCCAGACAGAGGGCGCCACACCCGAGAAAGAAAAGUACGCGUCUCCACCUGCCAAGGGACGGCGAGGCAGCGGCAUGGGUGACGUGGACGGUAACAGUCAGCGCGCCAGCCUCGAAGAGAUCACAAAUGUUCGCGGGUCAGUGAAGCGGCUGCGCAGCGUAGAGAGCAGCGACAGCAGUGGAACUCCACGCGGCCAAGCACGGCGCACCAGCAGCAGCCAGAAGAGCCCCGGUGCCCUCACAAAGGUGUGCAAGACAAUUUACUGAGGAGUGGGUAUGGCAGGCCGAAGGGCAAGGAGGGGAGGGAGCGGCGCCACAGCGGUCUCGCAUCACCCGCGCUGCCUCACGCACUCGCUACAGCCGCUAUGCGCAUUUCGCUCAGUCCGCAUCCGCGCAAAAAGCGAACGACACAUGUGCGUUCUCGUGGGUUGGCUGAUGGCGAGAGAAAGGGAUCAGGUGGGAUGCUUCUCUGCCUCUCCCCCACUCUCUCUAUCCCUCGUGCGCGCCUGUGCGUCCUUCAUCGCCGCCAUUCGUGCCGCUGUUGCGCAGCUCUUCGUUCGCUUUUUUUUUGGGGGGGUCCCUGCGCUCUCCAUCUCUCUUCGUGCCUGGAGGGAGCCGCGCGGCAACGUGAGCACGCCAUACACGUGCAAAAUAAUAGAAGGGUGUACCCGUGCAUCAUGUGUGUCUCACGUCUCGAUUCUCUGACGACAGCAGAUGGACGAACGCACGUGCGAAAGUGUUCAUUGCACACUCCCGCAAUGCUGUGUGCAACGGGCGCGGAUCCUCCGCAACAUUCCGCGUGACGCGUGCGAUCUCGCUUCCUUCUCAGCGAGUGCGACGGAGAGAGAGUGGGGAGGGGGCGGGCUGGGCUGGGCUGGGGACUCUCCUCCGUCCUUCCUCCCACAUGUCUCCUCCUGCUCUACUUCUGUAUCCACCGCCCACUCGGUGCUCACCCCUCCCCUCCCAGCCUCAACUCGUCCCCGCUUCUUCCCUCUUGCCCUUCCUUUGCUGUCUUGGGCGUUGUCUCCUUUGGGUUCUGUCUCACCUGCUCGCGCGCAUGCGUGCACUUGCCUGUAUGCCUGCGUAG